GAUGAACGCUAGCGGCAGGCUUAAUACAUGCAAGUUGAGGGGCAGCAUGAUAUACGCGAGUAUAUUGAUGGCGACCGGCGGACGGGUGAGUAAUAGGUAGGAGACCUACCUCAUACAGGGGGAUAGCAUAGAGAAAUCUGUGGUAAUACCCCAUGAGGUUAUAUGAAUACCCCCGAGGCAUAUAAUCAAAGCAUAAGCGAUUAUGCGGUAUGAGAGGGGCCUACUGACCAUUAGCUAGUUGGUGAGGUAAGGGCUCACCAAGGCGAAGAUGGUUAGGGGUUUUGAGAGAGAGACCCCCCACAUUGGAACUGAGAGACGGUCCAGACUCCUACGGGAGGCAGCAGUAGGGAAUAUUGGGCAAUGGGCGAAAGCCUGACCCAGCCAUGCCGCGUGAAGGAAGACGGCCUUAUGGGUUGUAAACUUCUUUACUACGCGAAUAGAGGUUAGUACGAGAUACUAAUAGGAAGGUAGUGUAGUAAAAAGCACCGGCUAACUCCGUGCC
RNAcentral lists this ribosomal RNA (502 nucleotides) under uncultured bacterium. RNAcentral describes it as "bacterial SSU rRNA". It matches the Rfam family "Bacterial small subunit ribosomal RNA", at positions 28 to 509 of the family's 1533-position model. The record is from RNAcentral.